Molecule: ribosomal RNA, 495 nt
Filed under: uncultured bacterium
Lineage: Bacteria
Description: partial 16S ribosomal RNA
Rfam family: Bacterial small subunit ribosomal RNA
Source: RNAcentral
GACGAACGCUGGCGGCGUGCCUAAUACAUGCAAGUAGAACGCUGAAGGCGGAGCUUGCUCUUCUGGAUGAGUUGCGAACGGGUGAGUAACGCGUAGGUAACCUGCCUGGUAGCGGGGGAUAACUAUUGGAAACGAUAGCUAAUACCGCAUAAGAGUAGAUGUUGCAUGACAUUUACUUAAAAGGUGCAAUUGCAUCACUACCAGAUGGACCUGCGUUGUAUUAGCUAGUUGGUGGGGUAACGGCUUACCAAGGCGACGAUACAUAGCCGACCUGAGAGGGUGAUCGGCCACACUGGGACGGAGACACGGCCCAGACCCCUACGGGAGGCAGCAGGAGGGAAUCUUCGGCAAUGGACGGAAGUCUGACCGAGCAACGCCGCGUGAGUGAAGAAGGUUUUCGGAUCGUAAAGCUCUGUUGUAAGAGAAGAACGAGUGUGAGAGUGGAAAGUUCACACUGUGACGGUAUCUUACCAGAAAGGGACGGCUAACUACGUG